Molecule: RNA transcript, 3626 nt
Organism: Culex pipiens pallens (northern house mosquito)
Lineage: Eukaryota; Metazoa; Arthropoda; Insecta; Diptera; Culicidae
Gene: tmod
Gene name: tropomodulin
Exons: 11
Source: RefSeq, a predicted model, not a curated record
GCAACCGCAGAGUAGGCUGUGUGACAAUCGUCGCUAGGUGACAGCAGUAGGCAGUUCUUUGGCGCUGGCAACACUGGCCACAGUGGCGCCAUCCGGUUUGAGCAACACCAAACUGUCCAUCAAUCUUGGUUUGUUUCUUUUUGCAGCAAAGGCGAAUAGCUUCAAUUUUUCAAGAGUGCAGAGCGUCACCCAAAUAAAAAGUAGGUGUUUGCCUAGUGGCUCGAAGAAAAGUGGGAAAUUGCGCGAAAAAAAGUGUGAGCAGUGAGAAAGUCUUCAUUGGUGAGCAGUGAGCAAGAAAGGGAAGGAUUUAGGCGCCAUGUCGGACACCUACGAUGAGGAGUACGAGGAGACGCACACCGUCACGCGGAAGUCGGUGACCACCUUCAAGAUCGAGGAAACUUCCUCCUCGACCACUACCAAAACCAUCACCACACCCGCCAAGCUGUACGGCAAAGACAUCGGCGCGUACGACGAUGUCGACGUGGACGAGCUGCUGGCGCAGCUGUCGCCGGAGGAGAUCACCAUGCUGGCCAAGGAGGUCGAUCCGGAUGAUUCCUUCCUGCCACCGAGCCAGCGCACCAACUACGAGUGCGAGAAAGAGCCAACCGGACCGCUGGACCGGAAGAAGCUGAUCGAACACAUCAACAAACAGGCCAUGGAGACGCCGGAUAGGCCCGAGCUGGAACCGUACGUGCCGGGUUUGGUGCGCGGCAAGAAGUGGAUUCCGCCGCCGCAGGAGAAGCGCAUGCAGGAGGCGGAGGAUCAGAUCGCGAUCGACAUGGGCGACGAGUACGAGCAGGCGCUAUCGGACGCCACCCAGGAGGAAAUUAUCGAUCUGGCCGCCAUCCUGGGCUUCCACUCGAUGAUGAACCAGGACCAGUACCACGCGUCGCUGCUGAACAAGGGCCAGCCGGUGGGGCUCGGCUGGGACGGCAUCACCAAGUCGUCGAUCCAGAAGGUGUUCCCGGCGGAGGCGCCCAACCAGACGAACCCGGAGGAGAUGAUCAAGCGGAUCAAGGACGACGACAGCAAGCUGGUGGAUGUGAACCUGAACAAUAUUAAGAACAUCUCCGACGAGAACUUCGAGAAGCUGUUCGACGCGCUCGCCGCCAACACCCACCUGGAGGUGCUCUCGCUGACCAACGUGAACCUCACCGACCGGACCGCCCUGCUGCUCGCGGCCGCCAUCGAGCGCAACCACACGCUGCGCGUGCUGAACGUCGAGACGAACUUCAUCAGCCCGCCGGUGAUCGUGACGCUGGUCAAGUCCCUGCUCACCCAGAUGACGAUCGAGGAGUUCCGGGCCUCGAAUCAGCGAUCACAAGUGCUGGGCAACAAGAUCGAGAUGGAGAUCACGGACCUGGUGGAGAAGAACACCACCCUGCUGCGGCUAGGUCUGCAUCUGGAGUUCAACGACGCCCGCCACCGGGUGGCCGCCCAUCUGCAGCGCAACAUCGACAGAAUCCGUGUCGACAAGAAGGACGGUCGAUCGUCACGUGGCAGCUUCUACCGGCCGACGUCACGCGUCGAGGAACGGAUGGAGGAACUGGACGAGGUCGAGGAGGAGGAAGAGGAAGAGGAGGAGAUCCACGAGGUCCCGCAGGACUACGACGUGGAGGAAGAUCCGGACAACAUCGUGAUCCGCCCGCCGCCGUCCGACGACGAGGAUAUUAAGAAAAGAUUUGACGCAGCGUCUGCAGUUUAGAUUUUUCCAAAAUAUUCACAGAAAACAAGCGACUAUGAUACAGUGAAUCGCGCGAAAGCUCGUAGAUCACCUUACCGAGUGGCUAAGAACGUUAUUUAAGGAGAGAAAAAAAAGAGGUCGUGUUUUUUUUAAACUAUGAUAUCACUUUAAACUAACUUUGUAAAGUCACAGCAGCAGUGUUGAAAGUAAUUGUUUUUAGGGCAGAACUCUUUUCUAUCUUGGGAGGAACAGAUUGAAAAAAGGAAGAAGGUUUAAAUAUAAACUAAGUGUAAAAUAAAAGAAGAAAUGCGUUGGGUGAAGAGUUUUUUUUUCUACGUAUUUCUGAAGCCGUACUUUUUUUGAGCCCGUGCAGCAAAAGUUUUACGGAGGAAGUACGAGAGAGGAUAAAUAUUUUCUAGAGUUUUGUUGAGAGGUAGGGCGAGACAAAAAAAGAUGGGGGAGUUUUAUUAAUUGAUCGAAGGAGGAAGGAAGAAAAAAAAGUUUUUCUUUAAUUUCAAUGUUGAUACCUUCUUUGUGUGCGUGUAAACACAGUGUAGAAGUAAUAAAAGUCAAACAACGAGGAGUAAAAAAUUGCUGCAAUUAAAACUUUCUUUUUUUUUAUUUGCGUUACAAAAACACACUACCAGAGUUGUAAAAGAGUUAGUUAGCCAAAAGAGGAGGGAGAACGGAGCUUAAAAAUUGUUAGGUUAAGAAGUCAUCACUGAAUCUCAACCAUCGCAUCAAUCUACUGCUGGAGGAGCGACGUGACCAUUUCGACCGCCGCCAAGUUUGUUUCGUCCGGACCAGUUAAUCUCGUUCUCAAGUUUGUUUUGUAAACAUAUAUACACACACACAUCUUGUCCUGUUUUCUGUGUUGGCGCGAAAUGAUAGAGUUUAGGCAAUCAUCGGAGCUGUCAAAAUGUGUCAGUGUUGCCGGCGACGCCGAACUCAACAGAACCCGCAAAAAAUUGCCGUGAGCGUCGCACCGGCCGUGGUGGCAACACUGGCGGAUUCAUCCGUGGCUAGGUAAAAACGUAAGCUGGCAACCAUCACACACACACACGCAGGACAUAUUUCUAGCAAAGUUAAAAAAAAAUCGGUGCUUUUUGUGUCCCAGUGCAGCAAGAGAAAGAGAGAAAAAAAUGAAGAAGAAGAGAGAGUAUUGAAUAAUUUUAUCACACAUUUGACGAGACGAGUAUUUUUUUCUUUUAUUAUUUUUUGUUGUUAUUUUUAUUUAAACAAAAAGAGACUUUGUUCCCGCCUUGAGCCAAGCCAGCGCAGAUUCGAACAACGAUUUGGGGCGGAUCAAACCUCACAAACACACGUUUAUUUUAGUUUAUCAAAUGCGCCCCCUCCCUAUUAGUGUUUAGUGAAGAAGAAUGCUUACCAUUUAAGAGAAAAAAAGAUUCAAACACAAACACACACACGAUGAUUACCUAAACUCUUUUAUUUAUACGCAUAUAAACGAAUAUUCUAACUUUUAAAUCAAACAGAAAAAAAAACAAACUUUUACUUUUAAACAAAACAUCAACAAAAAAAGCAACACUUUUAAUUAGUUGGUAAAUUUCAUUGUAAACUAUGAUAGAGAAGAAGAAGAACAAGGAAACCAAGAGAAAGAAAACAAAAGAAAAUGUAUUCAUCACUGCGCGUACCAUUUGAAUUUUAACGUUGAAAGAAACACACUGCCUCGAAAAGUCGCUAGAGAAAGCUUCUAAAUUAUUGCAAAAUUAGAUUAAAAAAGAAGAACCUUGACCAUUGUGAUCACUUUUCGGCUUGAUUGAGCGGAACGACAUACAACCAUAAAAAAGGUGUAAUUUUUCCUCCGUAGUGAAGCUUUAUUUCAUCCUUCAUCGCCUAGCCCAUCAUCACAAAAGAAACAAGCAACGCUGAAUAUGUUUACGAAACUGUGGAAAAAUAAAAUAAAAUAUUUAAGACAAAUUAA